Molecule: long non-coding RNA, 7369 nt
Filed under: Olea europaea (common olive)
Lineage: Eukaryota; Viridiplantae; Streptophyta; Magnoliopsida; Lamiales; Oleaceae
Description: long non-coding RNA (OEUR_LNC007364)
Source: RNAcentral
ACCGCUAUCAUCACGACCACAGAUCGGAUCAAAAUUUCCUAGAUCUCCCAUCAUCCACCGCCACCUACACCACCUAGAUUGAAACCACCAAAAAUUACCACUUCACCACCAAUGUGACAGCACCACAAAAUAGAUCCAAAAUCAGAGCCGCAAUGGAAGUGACAACCCUGCCACGAUCACCAUCGGAGCCAACACACAACCACCACCAACAAAUCGAAUCCAAAACUGCUAGCCUCCCACAACUGCCAUCAUCACACCACCUUACUAUCACCAUCGUCUCCACCCUAUCGUUGCCACUGCCACAACCCCGUCACUACCACUCCAACAAACAAAACCAAAACCAUCCUUACCUUGUCCAAUUACUUGAAAGCUAUUGAGCCUGCCCUUGAUGCUAUACAAAAAUUAAUUGCCCAUGGCUAACUUCAUGGCGAAGCUGACCCAGUGAUGGCGCGAUGCAAAAUUAUUGUCCAGAUUGAUUGAAUCUGUUUGCAAAUGUCACUAUCUAGGUGAUGAAUUUGUGGUAAAUCAGGGUAUGCCAUCUCGCCAAAGGUGGCGUGUUGGUGGUCUCCGACAAAUGUUUAUGGUUUGCCACUCGCAGUGGCUAUUCAGUGGCACCGAAGAGACGAGGAGAAGGGAGGGACAGGGAGGAGAUUUACAGGUUUGGGUAGUGGAUAGGGUUUUGAUAUUUUCCUAAUUUCAUUAGUUUAUUUAAAUAAUUAAUAUUAAAAAAAUUUUGAUUUUUGAAUUGUGAAACUUCCCACCUGAUUUUAGAAUGUUGAAUUUUUAAGGUAGGAUGCGGUGUAAUUUCCACUUUAUAUAUUUUUGAGCUUUUAUUGUCGUAUAAAGAGUUUAGAAAUGAUAGCAUCAUGAUAUGUACUAUACUAUAUCAAGGAAAAUAGUAGUUUAUGUUUCGCUCAUGUUUAUAAACACAUAAAUAUUUUUUUUUCUCAACGUAUUUUGAGAAAUUCACAAAUACUACUUACUUAUUCACUACUCAUUUCAAUCUAUUUGUAAUUUAAAUUGUUAUAAAUAAUUUCUAAACCUGCUUUAAGACUUAAUUUUAUAUAAUAACUUAUAAGUUUUAUCUAUGUUAAUUAAUUAUAAAUUUGAGACGUGAACAAGAAAUAAUUAAUGCAGAAGGUGGUGGUUGCGCGCGGUCCCAACAACUAGUAUAGUCGAGUCCAAAGAAAAUAUUUAUGAGGCCAGUUGCAAGCCAUCGAUGGCAGAUGCGUAUUCAGGAUUUUUAUUAGCGAAGGUUGAAAUAUAAAAAAAAAAUUAAUAUCGUAAAAUUUAUACAUAAAUAAACCGACAAGACAACGAUACUUUGAUAAUUUCAUUUGAAUAUAAACUAUUAUCGAUGUGUAAUUAGUAAGGUGAUGACAAGCAAAGUACUUACUAACUAAAUUAAAAUUGAGGAUCACAAAUUUAAAUAUUAACAAAAAAAAUAUAUAAACAAAGGCUUUAAAAUGUUAAUUGUAGAAUAAAAAUGCAAUUGAUUAAACAAGUAGCAACAAUGUAAAUAUAAAAUCAAUCCAUAGAUAAUAUCAUAAAAUUUAAUAAAAAAUUCUUAAAUUUUUAUAAAUUGAUGAUUUUAUUUUUUACAAUUAUUAUGGGAAAUUAAAUCAACUAAAUUAAAAAUUUUGAAAAGGCGACCAUUUUUUAGCCAAUCACAUCCCUUAAAAUAAAAACAAGAACUCUACAUUUUUCUUUACAGACCAUCAAUCAAUAGUCACCAUCAUCUUUUGCAGGUCCAUGUGUAUAUCAAUAUCACUCACUCCUAAUAAAUAUAGAAACGAAUCAAACGAUUGUCAAAAUAUCAUUCAAGAUGUUUUAUCACCUUUUAGUAUUAUUUUCCUAUUAAAUUGAUUGCAUAACAACACAAUUAGAUGAUUUUCUUUUUAAUUCUUCAGCCCAAUAAUUAGAAUUUAAACACAAUAUUAACCAUUCACCACUCUACAAUCAAACACUAGAAAGACAAAAAAUCCUUAACAAAAACAAAACAGAGGAAAAAAUGGUCUAGAAAUGGAAAUGGGCUGGGGAUUGGAUCGGGCUAUCCUCUAUCUGCUCUUGCUCGAUGGUUGAGUUAGUAUUUAACUAUUAUCACAAGUUCGAUAAAACAAUGAUUUCUGAAGCAAAAAAAAUUGUGAUCUCGUUAAAUUUGAGCGAGACGAUCAUGAGGACGGACAUAAGGGUGGGAGACUUCCUUGAUUGGUGCUAUUUGCUCGUCACGUUUUGCGACAACUUGAUAUCGACGUAAUAGUGAAAUUGUGUAUUAGAGAUGCUAUAUAUUGUCACAUUUAUGACUUUUUGAAAUCAAUUAAGUCCUAUCGAGUUGUGUUUAUGGUGACAUCACAAGAUUGCUAACUUGCUUAGCUUAGCUUCCUGACUAAAAAAUUUAGAAUAGUGAAGACGCAAUUAUUUAGAAAACUAGAUUACCCUUUUAUUGAAGAUAGAGAUGGAUAACAACGUGAAUAAAAAUUUAAUUUGUCUUUUUUUUUUUAUCUAAUUAUAUCCAAUACAAAUUGAGUUGAUAAAACUAUAAUUUAUUUAUUUAUUUUCACUAGACUAGACCACUUAACUUAGAAUUUCAAAAGAGUCUUGAUGCAAUUUCUUGGAGAGUUAGAACCACUUUUAUUAAAAAAGAAAAAAAGAAAAAAAAAUUCAAUGACUUAAACAGAGCAAAGUCGAUCGUUUAAAAAAUUAGGUAAAAAAAUAACUAAAUAAUUUAUAAUUAUGUACCUAACAAAAUGCAAUAUUUUUCUUUCUCAACCAAAAAAGAAAAAAGAAAUAUAUGUAGGUCAAGAGAUUAGAUAUUGAAUGGUUAUGUCAACAUUUGGUUCUUGUCUAUGAUUUGGUGUCUAACUCAGACAAGUUGGUAAGAUUCAAAAUUAAGAGACAAGAAAAAUGGGCACAAUAAUGCAUAAUGAAAUUCCACAUGCCCGUCAAUAAAUAUGUGACAACUGACAAUUACUUGUUCUAUGCAAAAUUGAAAAUUGCAUGGGUUGAUUUGAUUUUGCAACUUAAAUAAUAACUUAUCAUUAAACCAAUAUUGUAUAUUUCAUGAUAUUUUCCUCUUUUUUUGGUUCAAAAUUAAAUAAGUUGAUGACAAAUUAUUAGCAUGUUUGGAAAAUCUUAAAUUGUAAUUUAAAUUGAUCAAACUUACUUUCAUCUACAAAUUUUGUAGGAUUCAUAUCUAACUAUUCACUUAUUAUUCAUAAACUUUAUAGAAUUCAUAACUUAUAAGCUUUAACAAACAUGAGACGUGUUUUUAUGAGGAUUACAUAUGAAGAUUUAAGGAAGAUUUGGAAAAAAAAAAAUCUUUAUGGGAUAUUGAUUGUGCACCUGUCAACUUGCUUUUUAAGAUCUAGGACUAGAAAAUUUUACUUGAAUAAUAGAUCGAGGACCAACGCCAUAAUAUUCACAAUGACGCCCCAUCAAGGAAACGGAAACUAGUAGCUUAUGAUACAUCUCUCUCUAUACAUAUACAUACAUGUAUACAUACAAACACAUUAGCAUGGAGUAAAAUGAAUUUUUGAAUAAUAAAUUUUUAGAGAAUGGAUUAUUAAGAAGUUUAAAAAAAAUUUAAGCACUCGUUUGAUCCUAUUUUCAUCCUACUAAUGCAUUUUUCAUCUCAAAUCGUGGUGGGCCCAGCUGCAUGGCCAUCAUUUCACAUGUAUAUAAAUUACCACACCUUUCCCGUUUUGUCCUCAUUGAAUUGGACCAAAAGUAGGAAAGAUUUCAGCAGCCUUUCAAAAUCAAAGGACAAAUGUGCUAAAAAUGGGGUAGAAACUGCGGUAAAUGGGAUUGCACUGGAGGACCCAUGGUGUCAGACAGACCAACGGACGACGCUUCACUUACAGGGGCAUUUCACAGGGCUCGGCCAGGGCGCACUCAAGGGCGGGGCUUGCACAAUUUUUUUUUUCUUUUUUAAUGCAGGUCAGUUCCACCUGACCUACCAGCUACAGUGAGGGGGCCUGUAAGUCCCCUAUUGAACAGUUCAACUAUAGAUUUCCUCAUUUUAGUCGGGCAAAAGUGUGGGACAAACACGCUCUAAAUUUACAUGAAAAAUAUUUUAUUAUGACAAUAUGAUUUUGAAAGAAUGAUUCUAAACAGGGGCUCAAAGAUCUUUCUUGAGCUGAAAUUCAUAUGCAGUGGUUGAGGAAAACCAUAUAAUAGUUGAGUACGCUGCACGCUGGCAAUGGUCAGUGUCAAACAACCUUUUACUUUAAUACUUAUUUUCUACAAAUACAAACAAAGAAUUCCUCUAUUUUCUGGUCAUUUUCUUUCCCAUUACUCCUCAAAAACUGAUAUCACAAGAGAAAUUUCAGGUAUCUCACCUCCCAUUUUUGUUCUUUUGCUUAAAGUCUCGUGUAUUUGUUUCUUGGUAGAAGUUUCAAGAUUUUUUAUUGGAGCAAUUUUAGUAAAACUGCAAGUUGUUGAAUGGGCACUGAAUAAGCUUCAGAAGUUGGAUUUUAGUGUAUAAUUAAAUAGAAAAUGAAGUGAUUUCGAAGGUUUUACUGCUCGUGCGAGAGCUAAUGUAAGUAUGAUGAUUUAGAAUUUCUUGGAAAAAGUUCUAAGAUUUUUGACUGACUGAAUAUUUUGUGCAGAUACAAGUUGUUGCAUUGUAUUGAACAAGCUUUAAAACUUGGUUUGAAGUGUAUAAUUUAAGAGAAGAUUUCUUGAUUUUGAAGGUUUUCUUGCUUAUGAGAGAGCAGAUGUGUGUGUGAUGAUUAAGAAAAUUCUGCAAGAUUUCUUGAUUUUGAAGGUUUUCUUGCUUAUGAGAGAGCAAAUGUGUGUGUGAUGAUUAAGAAAAUUCUGCAAGAUUUCUUGAUUUUGAAGGUUUUCUUGCUUAUGAGAGAGCAAAUGUGUGUGUGAUGAUUAAGAAAAUUCUGCAAGAUUUCUUGCCUUGUACAUGUUCGAGAAAGUGUCAGAAACUUAUUUAUUCUGUUUUUCUUUUCCCAGUUUUCGGUUUUAUGGGUUGAUGCACGAGUCAAUUUUGAUGCUAAAAUAAGUUGUGGAGUAGAAUGGCCAUGGCAAAGAGAUCAGCAAGAAUUCCUGAGGAGAGGGCGAAGAAGAGUGAGUUGAACUGUAAAUGGGGAUUAUUCAGUAUCUUUGAGUCCCACCAUGGUUGUGCUAGUCGAAAACAGCUUUUGAAUGGGAGGCCUGUGGACAAACAUAUCAUGAAUGGUAAAACUCCCUCAAUUCAUAGUAUGUAGAAUAAAGAAAUAUACUUUUAUUUGAGUGAUUGAAAUGCUGAGUUGNCUCAAAAGAUUCAAUGACCAACUUCUAGCAAUAGAAAUAUUGCAAGUCCCGAAACAACGAGCCUACUAACGUUUUGAGGUCUCUUUUAGUAAAUCAACAUUUUAUAAGCUAUUAUGAUAAAUGCAAAAUGUGCAAGACUGAAUGUACGAGACAAAGAAUGAAGUAACCAAUUAUGUACUCAUAUGGGUCUAUAUAAAUAAAGAUGUUGAAAUGUUGUGUUAAGAUUAAUUAACACUUGGAGCAAAAAUAAUUGAGCAACUUGAAUUUGUUCUGUAUAAUCACAGUAUUUACAAUGUUACAUAUGAACAAAUAACAAUCACAUUCAACAAUACUCAAUAUGUGAACAAAUUCUUCCUUAAAUAAAUGUAAAACAUGGAAAUGAAAAAUACAACAGAAAAACGGUGCUCCUUCCCUAACCGGAUCAAAAUUUGUAGAGAAUCAACAUUCCAUUCGUCUCCGUAGAUAAGCCCUCUUUCCAACUUAUGACAACUAGUUCUAGUAAGACAAUGGGAUGAGAGGGAUAAGUCAGUGGAAAGAAAGAUAAUGAGUUGAAGGGUUAAAAUGCGGAAAAAAGAAAAUCGCACUGAACAACUUAUCCUCAUAGAAUGUCGUCUGCUUCAUAGGUCCGGCGAUUGCUUCAUGGGGAGAGGUUUUCCGACCGGUAUUAAAUAUGAGAUUUGUCUAUAAUUCCAAAGUGAAAAAUGUUCAUUUGGCACAAUUUCCUCAAUAAAUUAUAGCAACGUACAUCAUUACAUUCUUUAAUCAUCCCUUUACUGAAAUUUAUACAUGGAAAAAAUUCAUAAGAGUUUAAAUAUUGCAUAUUUAAAAAUCAAGAAAACAAGUUUCAAAUUUCAAAAAUUAAAUUUUUAUUAAAUUUUACUUAUGAUUUAAUUAAUUUAUUUAUUAAUUAAAUAUAUUUAGAUCACAGAUCUAUACAAUUUGAUUACAAAUCAACGAUUUAAUUCGUCACAAAUUAGAAUUUUUAUAUCACAAAUUAUUUUAUGAUUAUAAUUCAAAAAUUUUAUAGAUUACAGUUUGUUCAUCGGUCACAAUUCAAAAAAUUUAUAAGUCAUGAUUUAUUUAUUGGUAAAAAAUCACAAAUAUUACAAGUCACAACUUAUUAUAUAGUUACAAAUUAUCGAUCGUAGAUUAAAUAUUUUUUAGAUCACACAUUAUUUCUCAGUCAAAAUUUAUAUUUUUUAUUGGUAACAUAUUAUUUAUUGGUCACAGAUUAACCAAUUUAAUAAUUAUAGUCAACCAAAUAAUUUGUGAGCACUACUAAUACUUGUGACCACCAUUUCACCACUACUUCCGCCAUUGUGGUCGAUAGAACCACCACCACCUCAAACAUAUCAACUUACUGCGAAAAAUACCAUCACAUUGUCGACGUCAAAUCCACCACCAAAAAAAAAAAAAAAUUAUUACAGUAACCGCUAUCAUCACGACCACAGAUCGGAUCCAAAUUUCCUAGAUCUCCCGUCAUCCACCGCCACCUACACCACCUAGAUUGAAACCACCAAAAAUUACCACUUCACCACCAAUGUGACAGCACCACAAAAUAGAUCCAAAAUUAGAGCAGCAAUGGAAGUGACAAUCGUGCCACGAUCACCAUCGGAGCCAACACACAACCACCAGGGCCGGUCCUGUGAUUGUUGGGGCCCAAGGCAAAGCCUAAAAAUUGGGCCCCCCUCCCAAAAUUAUCGUAAAUGAAAUGGAUAUAUAUAUAUAUAUAGUUGGGUAAUUGGACUAAGGCUAAGGGCAUUGGAUUGGAUUUGGGCUUGAAGUUGUGGGCUACAUUUCUGCAUCACUGGGUCUGGUUCAAGUUCAACUAAAAUAAUACUAAUCAUAAUUUUGGGCCCAAAGUGAGGCCCCCUAGAUGUUGGGCCUGAGGCAUAGGCCUCAUUUGCCUAGCCCCAGGACCGGGCCUGACAACCACCACCAACAAAUCAAAUCCAAAACUGCUAGCCUCCCACAAUUGCCAUCAUCACACCACCUUACUAUCACUGUCAUCUCCACCCUAUCGUUGCCACUGCCACAACCCGCGCCGCCACCACUCCAACAAACAAAACCAAAACCAUCCUUACCUUGUCCAAUUACUUGAAAGCUA